CACGGGGGGGGCAAGCGUUGUUCGGAAUUACUGGGCGUAAAGGGCUCGUAGGCGGCCAACUAAGUCCGACGUGAAAUCCCCAGGCUUAACCUGGGAACUGCGUCGGAUACUGGAUGGCUUGAAUCCGGGAGAGGGAUGCGGAAUUCCAGGUGUAGCGGUGAAAUGCGUAGAUAUCUGGAGGAACACCGGUGGCGAAGGCGGCAUCCUGGACCGGCAUUGACGCUGAGGAGCGAAAGCCAGGGGAGCAAACGGG
RNAcentral lists this ribosomal RNA (253 nucleotides) under uncultured bacterium. RNAcentral describes it as "partial 16S ribosomal RNA". It matches the Rfam family "Bacterial small subunit ribosomal RNA", at positions 524 to 776 of the family's 1533-position model. The record is from RNAcentral.